AUGCCUUAAACUUAUGAGUAAGUCGAGGUGACACCCGAAUCCUCAUGCUACUGUGAGAUGAAUUUUUGAGCCAGUAAAGGUUGCCCCUAAGGUGACUCGCCUACUUUGCGGGAUGCCUAGGAGUUGAUAUCUGCCUG
Molecule: small nuclear RNA, 137 nt
Filed under: Carlito syrichta (Philippine tarsier)
Lineage: Eukaryota; Metazoa; Chordata; Mammalia; Primates; Tarsiidae
Description: U12 minor spliceosomal RNA (ENSTSYG00000019943.2)
Rfam family: U12 minor spliceosomal RNA
About the family: Although the U12 sequence is very divergent from that of U2, the two are functionally analogous.
Source: Rfam by way of RNAcentral